ACCAUGCUAUAUAUCUUAUGAGAUAUCCAAUAGCGAUACUAAUGUUCUAUGCUGCUGUCAUUUCAGUCCGCAUAGUCAUUAUCAAAAUUGGUGUUGCCAUAUCAUUACUACUUUGGUUAAUUCAACGAUCCACUUCCAAGUUCUUUGGUGUCGAGCUGAGCAUGUGGUUAUCUUACAUCUUGGUAUGUCCAUAGGAUACGGUCAUCCUGAUACUCGAUGCGUUGUACCAUGACCGUGACUGUGCCAAGUUCUUCGUGCUUGAGACCAUAGCCAGGGUGCAGUAUCUCGCAUACAGAAGCAGCAGGAUCUUCCUUCAUAUCCUUUAUUGUAGAUCACAUAUUCCUUUGCAUUAAAGAUGCUGGUAAGGAGUAGCAACCAAUCAACUUUGAGUAUGCUAUUUGUAGACAUCUAUACUGACUUCUUCAUUAAACUUUUAUUUGCGUCGAUAGAGUUUCAGCUUGAACUUCUAAAGCAGUCACUGUUCUUCUCAUGGAAUUUGUUUUGCUUGUCAAUCUAUUGAGCGUUGUAUGCUUGGCUGAUUACAUCAUCAUUCAAGCUUUCUUGUGAGAGAUUUUUUUUUUAUUGUAGUCACCUACUGACAUGAUGACUACUGUUUUUCUAGUGGUUUCCAGGUGGUGCUGAAGUCGGCUAGGAGGGACAGCGCCGCGACGACGAGGAAGCGGCCGGGGACAAGGCCCAGGGCGGCAAAGCCAGCCCAAGUAAACUGCUGCCGGCCACCUUCCAGAAAAUUACAGUACCUAUAAAAGUUCAGAGAUGAGCUUCUCUCCUCGCACAUAUCCUACUGGGAGCUUGCCUAUUGGAUAAGUGCCUAAAUCUUUCCACCAUUUGAGCACCCAAGCCAUCAAUUUCUAGAGAAAAAAGAAUUCCAGCAACAAAGGUUCAUUUCUAAACAACUUGUGGUAUGCUUGCAAGUUCUAAUUUCCUUCAAAUGAUUAGAUAUCAAUGCCAUCCAUUCCUUUGUUUCAUCCUAAGCUUGACAUGGUGAUGCCAUUUUUCUUUGUUUAUGAAGGUACAAUAAGUUCAAGAAUAAAUGCAUUGAUGAGUGUAAGUAGUUCAGAAUCGAUUUGAGUGAGGUGCAGCUUCCUCUCAUAUUCUCUUGUCGUGGCAACUUUAUAACUGUUUGUUGAAGAAAAGUAGUUUACAACUAAAGUAGUGUAUAAAGUCAGUCAAGUUUAACUAUUAUGAUCUACUAUAAUCAUUGCUCUUUAACUUCCAGCUACUGGAAUCUUAAAAGUGAGGUUGCUUUCCAACUACAAUUGUAUAAUUUGUAAGUAAUUAUCAUGUCUGAGAAGGGUGAUCAAUCCCUCCUUUUGGAGACAUUUGGAUUUUUUCCACUUUGUUCAUGGGGCUUCUCAGAUUUGCCACUUUGGAGAAUUGAUUCGCAUAAAUGCCACUUAAGUCGUGGAGUCCUUGAUUAGUAUGCCAUUAGCUCCACUUUUAUUCAUUUUAAUUAAUUUUUUCACAUUAUCGGGCUAGUCAAAGACUAACUUACCCCUGUGGCUAUCUACACGUACACACAUCUGGCAUCGAAUCAGCACCUGAACCAUCAAAGCGGGCGCUGCAUGCUGAUAAUAUCGCGUGUGCCAUACCGUCAGUUGACUGGAUGCCAUGCUUCGGCGGUUCUGACGCCGCCGAUCCCCUGGAUGCCUCUUGCCACCGGCUGGACGUCAUGCGCUGCCGAUUGCCUGCAGGCCACGCGCCGUGGAUCGUUCGGUACAGCGGCGGCGGCAUAAACACCACAAAGUCUGCCCCAGGCAGUCGUCCAGAGAACUCUUGCCGGCCGACGGCAGCUCCUCCACGACCACCUCCCUCUGCGUCCUCCCAUCCUCCCGUGACAUGCCCUACCUCCUCCUUAUGCCAAGUGACUGAACAACGACCAGGACGGGCGGCGUGAGUGGUGCCCACAGAUGGUGGUCUGGUGGAACGAGCAGUGUGCGGCUGAGUGGCACGAGCGGCGACUGGAGGCGUCAGCGGGGGCUCUGUCUGGCGACGAGAAAUUUUUGUGGCUCCUUUCACCCUGUCAAACUUAGAUCGAUAGCCAGAUACAAAUACUUAGCACGUGUACUUAGCAUCAGGGGUAGUUUGGUCUUUUCUAAUGCCUAUAAAUGAGGAAAGAAGAAAGAAAUCAAUAAAAGGAGGCAAAUGGCAUGACAAUCAAGGAGUCAAUGUCAUGAGUGGCAAUUUUACGAAGCCAAUCUUGAAAAUGGCAAUUUUGAGAAGCCCGAUAUUGAAAGUAGCAAAUAUGUGAUUUUCUCAUCCGUUUUGGCUACAUGAUGGUAUGAUCCUUUUUUAGUGGAUUUCUUACAUGCCGUCAUGACUUGUUUCACUCAGUUUUAUGUUGAGUGAUCGAGUGUGUAGUGUACUCAUGGUAUCCUGCAGUUUAUGUAAUCCUAUAAAGAUAGGAUUCAUAGUGUUUUUGGAAGGUUGGCUGGUCUUUGGGGUCCCUAAGAAAUGUGUUUGAACGCUGAUUGAUCGGGCGAUAGCGGCGAAGGAAAAAGCAAAAGCACUGCUGUAGUUAAACACUCGAGCUGCAGAUGCAUGUGAUACAUUAUACGGGGGAGGCGACGUUUUUAUGGCUUGGUUUGGUAGGAUUCAAAUGACACUUCUUAGGAAAGACUGCUCUGAUGUAAUUAAGUUUCACCUUCUUAAGUCUGGCUACAUUAAACCAUCAAACUAUAUAUAGAAAAUAAAUGUAUUCUUAUCAUGUAUCCCCUGGAAUCCACAUAACAAGAACAGGAUAUUAAUUGGAUGCUAUGCACUGGACAUUGCGGCACGAUGAUUGGUUCCUUGAUGAAGAUACAAAGGUAUUCCGUUUCUUCAGGUAUUACACAUUUAUGUGGAUCCAGUUUGUUGUAUUUGGAUAUCUCAUCAUGUCCAUUUUUCAUUGUUGUAAUUUCUCCGUUCUAUAAUGUACUACGCAUGUCCUGUCUGUUUGUAAUGCGCUGGCCCAUAUUCUUGCCAUCUAUUCUUAAUCAUCUCCAAGCAGUUGUGUUUAGAAUGGCAUUCUUAUUUUCUGUAAGCAUUUAAUUCAUAGAGAAUUGAAAUCACCUGGUUUGCUUUAGCAUUUAAAAGAGGCAAAGAUAACAUACUGCCUAUGUGGGGAAAAGAUUGGUAUGUUGGUAUUAGCUUUAAAUGUGAUCACUGAUGCUUAUUGGCUGUAGUUGUGGUUUCAGAAGUAGCAUGCUAACAGUCAUCAUAUAUUGGCUAAUUCUGAUGAAGACCAAAAGAAUUCCAAUGAGAGGCAUCAUGCUGAUUCUGAUGUGGAAAUGGAUGAUGCCAAGCCUCCAGAGGACUCUCAAAGGUGUUCUUUUUAUUUGGUUCCUUAGUCGUGGCCUCAUGACGUCUCUUUCAUCAGUCAAACUAAAGCACUUUUUGUCAGCUUGUCUUCGCUUUUUUUCUUCUCAGCCGAUUAUGCUCCAUGGUUGAGUCGUCAUAUCCUUAAUAGAUGUACCACUGCCUAUGAGGGUUCUGAACUCAAAUAAUAUAAUAUAUGCAUGUUUGAUGAUGUGCAACUAAUAGAUCCUAAUGUUAUAGCAUAUAUGCCCAUAUUGAUA
Triticum aestivum (bread wheat) is the source of this 3575-nucleotide long non-coding RNA. RefSeq lists it as uncharacterized. The record is from RefSeq and is a predicted model, not a curated record. NCBI's taxonomy places the organism in Eukaryota, Viridiplantae, Streptophyta, Magnoliopsida, Poales, Poaceae. The transcript has 3 exons.